CUACGGGCGGCAGCAGUGGGGAAUAUUGCACAAUGGGGGAAACCCUGAUGCAGCAACGCCGCGUGGAGGAUGACACAUUUCGGUGCGUAAACUCCUUUUAUAUAGGAAGAUAAUGACGGUACUAUAUGAAUAAGCACCGGCUAACUCCGUGCCAGCAGCCGCGGUAAUACGGAGGGUGCAAGCGUUACUCGGAAUUACUGGGCGUAAAGAGCGUGUAGGCGGGUUUGUAAGUUGGAUGUGAAAUCCUAUGGCUCAACCAUAGAACUGCAUCCAAAACUACUUACCUAGAGUGUGGGAGAGGUAGAUGGAAUUUCUGGUGUAGGGGUAAAAUCCGUAGAGAUCAGAAGGAAUACCGAUUGCGAAGGCGAUCUACUGGAACAUAACUGACGCUGAGACGCGAAAGCGUGGGGAGCAAACAGGAUUAGAUACCCGUGUAGUC
Molecule: ribosomal RNA, 439 nt
Filed under: uncultured bacterium
Lineage: Bacteria
Description: partial 16S ribosomal RNA
Rfam family: Bacterial small subunit ribosomal RNA
Source: RNAcentral